GAUCGACGUUGAUUCGUCGAACACGAAUUCCAAAGAAAAAGCUUUACAUAUGUCAAGCUAAUUGCAAAUUGAUGAUAUCCGAUCGAUAGCUGUUGGUAGCAUCCGUGAGCGCGGUAUAGGGCGCGAAUAAGUGACAAGAAAAAGAGUAAACUACCGUGAUAGCAGGUAGUUUAACGAACUCGUAGUUGGCCAGCUAUAAUUAACGUGCCAAGAGUAGUGGAUGCGUGUUUGAUGCGUUGCAGACACGCAAGCAUGUUAGGACCAAGAUUAAUUGCGAUAAAAAUGACACCAAGUUAUAAUUAAGACCUUCUCGGAGAAGUGGCUGCGGCGUCCGCGAGUUCCAGCAGCAAGUUACGCUUUCGACUCGGCGUUUAAACUUCGAUCGAUGCCUCGUACAUUCGCGAAUAUUUCCUUCGCGUGAACUCACGAAACUCGCGAAAGAUCGAUCGGCCCUCGCGCUUUCUGUGUUCUCUGAAUCGACGAGGCAAGACAAUUGCCGAAGCUCGUUCCAGUAUCUCGCGUUAUUUGCAUUUGAUUGCGACAUUGCCGCGCCUCCCUUCCUUUUUCCCCCAUUUUAUUCAUCGAUCUUCAGUUUC
Molecule: unclassified non-coding RNA, 596 nt
Filed under: Bombus terrestris (buff-tailed bumblebee)
Lineage: Eukaryota; Metazoa; Arthropoda; Insecta; Hymenoptera; Apidae
Description: misc RNA ENSBTSG00005035842.1
Source: RNAcentral